RNAcentral lists this unclassified non-coding RNA (536 nucleotides) under Hevea brasiliensis (rubber tree). The record is from RNAcentral. Lineage: Eukaryota; Viridiplantae; Streptophyta; Magnoliopsida; Malpighiales; Euphorbiaceae.
AAGCGGGUAAAACUAGUGUUGGUGAUGCAGUAGAUGGAGCUAUUAAAAUUCUUACUAUUGCGGUCACCAUUGUUGUAGUUGCAGUGCCUGAAGGACUUCCCUUAGCUGUUACCUUAACUCUUGCCUACUCUAUGAGAAAAAUGAUGGCAGAUAGGGCCUUGGUGCGUAGACUUUCUGCCUGUGAAACCAUGGGUUCUGCAACAACCAUUUGCAGUGACAAGACUGGAACUUUAACCCUGAAUCAGAUGACUGUUGUUGCUGCUUAUGCUGGUAGCAAAAAAAUUGAUCCUCCAGAAAAGAAGUCCCAAUUGUCUCCUAAACUGUCCUCUUUACUUAUUGAAGGCGUUGCACAGAAUACAAAUGGCAGUGUUUUUAUCCCUGAGGGUGGAGGAGACGUAGAGGUUUCUGGAUCACCAACAGAGAAAGCCAUUCUUGUUUGGGGAGUUAAGGUUUCUUUUGUAACUUCAUCUUGUUUGUUAACUAGCGAUCAGAAUCAACUGUUAUUCAUGUUUUCCCAUUCAACUCACAGAAAAAAA